AAAAAUCGAUUCCCUGAGUAGCGGCGAGCGAAACGGGAAGAGCCCAAACCAACAAGCUUGCUUGUUGGGGUUGUAGGACACUCUAUACGGAGUUACAAAAGAACAUGUUAGACGAAUCAUCUGGAAAGAUGAAUCAAAGAAGGUAAUAAUCCUGUAGUCGAAAACAUAUUCUCUCUUGAGUGGAUCCUGAGUACGACGGAGCACGUGAAAUUCCGUCGGAAUCUGGGAGGACCAUCUCCUAAGGCUAAAUACUCUCUAGUGACCGAUAGUGAACCAGUACCGUGAGGGAAAGGUGAAAAGUACCCCGGAAGGGGAGUGAAAGAGAACUUGAAACCGUGUGCUUACAAGUAGUCAGAGCCCGUUAAUGGGUGAUGGCGUGCCUUUUGUAGAAUGAACCGGCGAGUUACGAUCUGAUGCAAGGUUAAGCAGCAAAUGUGGAGCCGCAGCGAAAGCGAGUCUGAAUAGGGCGUUGAGUAUUUGGUCGUAGACCCGAAACCAGGUGAUCUACCCUUGGUCAGGUUGAAGUUCAGGUAACACUGAAUGGAGGACCGAACCGACUUACGUUGAAAAGUGAGCGGAUGAACUGAGGGUAGCGGAGAAAUUCCAAUCGAACUUGGAGAUAGCUGGUUCUCUCCGAAAUAGCUUUAGGGCUAGCCUCAAGUGAUGAUUAUUGGAGGUAGAGCACUGUUUGGACGAGGGGCCCCUCUCGGGUUACCGAAUUCAGACAAACUCCGAAUGCCAAUUAAUUUAACUUGGGAGUCAGAACAUGGGUGAUAAGGUCCGUGUUCGAAAGGGAAACAGCCCAGACCACCAGCUAAGGUCCCAAAAUAUAUGUUAAGUGGAAAAGGAUGUGGCGUUGCCCAGACAACUAGGAUGUUGGCUUAGAAGCAGCCAUCAUUUAAAGAGUGCGUAAUAGCUCACUAGUCGAGUGACACUGCGCCGAAAAUGUACCGGGGCUAAACAUAUUACCGAAGCUGUGGAUUGUCCUUUGGACAAUGGUAGGAGAGCGUUCUAAGGGCGUCGAAGCAUGAUCGCAAGGACAUGUGGAGCGCUUAGAAGUGAGAAUGCCGGUGUGAGUAGCGAAAGACGGGUGAGAAUCCCGUCCACCGAUUGACUAAGGUUUCCAGAGGAAGGCUCGUCCGCUCUGGGUUAGUCGGGUCCUAAGCUGAGGCCGACAGGCGUAGGCGAUGGAUAACAGGUUGAUAUUCCUGUACCACCUAGUAUCGUUUUAAUCGAUGGGGGGACGCAGUAGGAUAGGCGAAGCGUGCUGUUGGAGUGCACGUCCAAGCAGUAAGGCUGAGUGUUAGGCAAAUCCGGCACUCAUAAGGCUGAGCUGUGAUGGGGAGAGGAAAUUGUUUCCUCGAGUCGUUGAUUUCACACUGCCGAGAAAAGCCUCUAGAUAGAUAACAGGUGCCCGUACCGCAAACCGACACAGGUAGUCAAGAUGAGAAUUCUAAGGUGAGCGAGCGAACUCUCGUUAAGGAACUCGGCAAAAUGACCCCGUAACUUCGGGAGAAGGGGUGCUCUUUAGGGUUCACGCCCAGAAGAGCCGCAGUGAAUAGGCCCAAGCGACUGUUUAUCAAAAACACAGGUCUCUGCUAAACCGUAAGGUGAUGUAUAGGGGCUGACGCCUGCCCGGUGCUGGAAGGUUAAGAGGAGUGGUUAGCUUCUGCGAAGCUACGAAUCGAAGCCCCAGUAAACGGCGGCCGUAACUAUAACGGUCCUAAGGUAGCGAAAUUCCUUGUCGGGUAAGUUCCGACCCGCACGAAAGGCGUAACGAUUUGGGCACUGUCUCAACGAGAGACUCGGUGAAAUCAUAGUACCUGUGAAGAUGCAGGUUACCCGCGACAGGACGGAAAGACCCCGUGGAGCUUUACUGUAGCCUGAUAUUGAAAUUCGGCACAGCUUGUACAGGAUAGGUAGGAGCCUUUGAAACGUGAGCGCUAGCUUACGUGGAGGCGUUGGUGGGAUACUACCCUAGCUGUGUUGGCUUUCUAACCCGCACCACUUAUCGUGGUGGGAGACAGUGUCAGGCGGGCAGUUUGACUGGGGCGGUCGCCUCCUAAAAGGUAACGGAGGCGCUCAAAGGUUCCCUCAGAAUGGUUGGAAAUCAUUCAUAGAGUGUAAAGGCAUAAGGGAGCUUGACUGCGAGACCUACAAGUCGAGCAGGGUCGAAAGACGGACUUAGUGAUCCGGUGGUUCCGCAUGGAAGGGCCAUCGCUCAACGGAUAAAAGCUACCCCGGGGAUAACAGGCUUAUCUCCCCCAAGAGUUCACAUCGACGGGGAGGUUUGGCACCUCGAUGUCGGCUCAUCGCAUCCUGGGGCUGUAGUCGGUCCCAAGGGUUGGGCUGUUCGCCCAUUAAAGCGGUACGCGAGCUGGGUUCAGAACGUCGUGAGACAGUUCGGUCCCUAUCCGUCGUGGGCGUAGGAAAUUUGAGAGGAGCUGUCCUUAGUACGAGAGGACCGGGAUGGACAUACCUCUGGUGUACCAGUUGUCGUGCCAACGGCAUAGCUGGGUAGCUAUGUAUGGACGGGAUAAGUGCUGAAAGCAUCUAAGCAUGAAGCCCCCCUCAAGAUGAGAUUUCCCAACUUCGGUUAUAAGAUCCCUCGAAGAUGACGAGGUUAAUAGGUUCGAGGUGGAAGCGUGGUGACACGUGGAGCUGACGAAUACUAAUCGAUCGAAGACUUAAUCAAUUUUUAAA
This 2703-nucleotide ribosomal RNA is filed under the name Staphylococcus epidermidis. RNAcentral describes it as "bacterial LSU rRNA". It matches the Rfam family "Bacterial large subunit ribosomal RNA". Lineage: Bacteria; Bacillati; Bacillota; Bacilli; Caryophanales; Staphylococcaceae. The record is from RNAcentral.